GACGAACCGUACGAACGUUAUUCGGAAUCACUGGGCUUAAAGGGUGCGUAGGCGGCGGCGCAAGUUGGGUGUGAAAUCCCUCGGCUCAACCGAGGAACUGCGCUCAAAACUGCGUCGCUUGAGGAAGAUAGAGGUGAGUGGAACUUAGGGUGGAGCGGUGAAAUGCGUUGAUAUCCUAAGGAACACCAGUGGCGAAAGCGACUCACUGGGUCUUCUCUGACGCUGAGGCACGAAAGCUAGGGUAGCGAAC
This 250-nucleotide ribosomal RNA is filed under the name uncultured bacterium. RNAcentral's name for it is "partial 16S ribosomal RNA". It matches the Rfam family "Bacterial small subunit ribosomal RNA", at positions 524 to 773 of the family's 1533-position model. The record is from RNAcentral.